GUUGAAUAUUAUAUUAUCAAUUACGAGAUUUAUUUAAAAUUAUUCUUUUUUUUCUAAUGAUAAUGAUUUUAUUGAAAUUGCAAAAAAUAAUAUAUCUAUUUCUGGAGAAUUCAUAAUGAUCUGAAACAUACUGAUUAAGCCGCAUAAUCGUAGAAUAAUACAGCCAGAGGCAUAGGGGCAUAUGAUCCACGAUGAGCAGCUACAAACAAAAGCUAAUAUACAUGUUACUUUGCUGAUGAUACUCGAUAUCCAAAGAAGUUCUUUAGAAGUAGAAUGAUAGAGGCCGUUCUAUUAUCAAUUCUGAAAAGAAACGAUCAAAGACCAAGUGUUUCAAGCAUCGGGCACAACAACGAUCAGCUCUCAGAGAAAAUUUGGAAGUUUGGCGAGAUUUCAUGGAUAAGCGAUCGAGUAACAUCAAGGACAAAAUAUCAAGAAUCUAACUUUUAAAUUAUCUGCAAUAUAUGCAAUAUAAUAUUGCAUAUAAUGUUGCAAUAUUAUAUGGCAUAUAAAUUUGUAGCUCUCCAUUUUUUGAAUCUUUGACUUCGAAUAUUAAAAAAAUCGAUUCAUCAUUUAUUAAGAAAACACUCGAUUCAGUGUUAUGAGAAAGGAAAAUAUUAUCGAAUAAAUUAAUAUGGAAAUCGAUAGAAAUAAAGAUUCAUUUUUUCGAUAGCCCCAUACAUCGAAUAUCAAUAAAUCGAUUUAUCUUUUAAGUAAUAGAAAUAAAUCCACACAUUAAAACAUUAAAAUAUUGGCAUUAAAACGAAAAAUAUGAUCGAACAAAUUGUUAACAUUAACAUGGCAAUGAGAUCAGUCGAUACUGAAGAAUAAUAAUAUAAAGCAUAAAAGUUUCGUUUCCGGUAACCUCAUAGAUGUCAAAACCGAUUUACUCUUUAGUCGAUUAUUCAGUGUUAUCAGAACGAAAAGUAUGAUCGAAUAGAUUGUGAAGACUAUGGCAAUCAUAGAAUUAAUAAUGGAGAUCAAUCGAUACUGAUGAAGAUCAAUGUAAAAUAUAAAAAGAUUAGUUUUCGAUAAUCUCGAUAAUAUUAAUGAUCUUUUAAUAAUAAUAGAAAAAAUUCAACUUAGACAGUAUGAAACAGAUUGUCAACAUUACGUAGAAUUAAUGAUGGAGAUCAACCAAUACUGAUGAAAAAAAAUGUAGAGCAUAGAAAAAUUCGUUUCCGGUAAUCGCGUAUAUCAAUAAACUGAUUUAUUCUUUAGUAACAAUAGAAAAUAGUCGAUUAUUCAGUGUUAUCAGAAAAGAAAUCAUCAAACAAAUUAUUAAGAUUAAACAAUCGAUUAUUAUAGAAUCAAUACACGAUGGAGAUCAAUCGGUACUGAUGAAGAUAAAUGUAAAACGUAGAAAGAUUCGAUUUUCGAUUCUGCGAUCUGACUCGAGUCAACUGAGACUAGAUAGAGCAGUCUAAAAAAAGACAUCAAUUCUAUCAUGGAGAAGUUUCAGUUGACACGGUAGUCAUUGUUGAAGGUAACAGAUAGCUUUUCUUGUUCGUCAAGGCAUUCAAAUCCAUGUGCAUCAUAUUCUUAUGGAAAGAAAACAGAUAUCAAUAGUUUGAUAUCAAUGAAAAUAUUUUGCUUAUAUAUUGCUCAUGACUUUACGAUAGAAAUAACGUGAGAAAACUUUCGAAAACAGAAUUCUCAAAAUAGAAAAUUGAUUCAAGGAGAAAGAAUCUAUACAGAUCACUGAUGGAAUUAGUAAAAUUAUCUAUUGAAAUAUGGAAUACUUCGAUAGCAAAUUGAGGUAUCUUUGUGUAUAAUCUAAAAUUGAUGUUAAAUGGAUAAGACGAUCUAAUGCGGGAACAAAUUGAGGAAUUAAACUUUGAAACAAUUUGAAACCGAAAAAUGUGACUCAACAAUACAAUUCUCUACUAUCUCUAAAGCAAAAAUCUGCAACAAAUCAUGUCGUCGGCGGUCGAACUUGGCACAAUUGACUUGGAUAUUUUACGCGAAUAACGACAUCACAAAGAGUGAGCGUGGAAAAAGCUGUAUCGUUGCAAAACUUUUAAAAGAUAUCUCAAAAUAUUUUCUAUUAGAUUUAGAUGAAUUUCGGUUGCAAAUUACUUGGAAGACAUAUAAAAGAAGAAACGUUUUCAUAAAUAGUAAAAUCACGCAACUACCGUCUCUAGUAAUUUUGC
Apis florea (little honeybee) is the source of this 2150-nucleotide long non-coding RNA. Lineage: Eukaryota; Metazoa; Arthropoda; Insecta; Hymenoptera; Apidae. The record is from RefSeq and is a predicted model, not a curated record.